Ochotona princeps (American pika) is the source of this 46-nucleotide microRNA precursor. The record is from Ensembl. NCBI's taxonomy places the organism in Eukaryota, Metazoa, Chordata, Mammalia, Lagomorpha, Ochotonidae.
GCAGGGUGGGGCUGGGGUGGGGAUUUCUCUGCAGCACCUUGCUAGC